Molecule: ribosomal RNA, 253 nt
Filed under: uncultured bacterium
Lineage: Bacteria
Description: partial 16S ribosomal RNA
Rfam family: Bacterial small subunit ribosomal RNA
Source: RNAcentral
GACAGAGGGUGCAAACGUUGUUCGGAAUUACUGGGCGUAAAGCGUGCGCAGGCGGUUGUGCAAGACAGAUGUGAAAUCCCCGGGCUUAACCUGGGAACUGCAUUUGUGACUGCACGGCUAGAGUGUGUCAGAGGGGGGUAGAAUUCCACGUGUAGCAGUGAAAUGCGUAGAUAUGUGGAGGAAUACCGAUGGCGAAGGCAGCCCCCUGGGAUAACACUGACGCUCAUGCACGAAAGCGUGGGGAGCAAACAGG